CCUACGGGAGGCAGCAGUGGGGAAUAUUGCACAAUGGGGGAAACCCUGAUGCAGCGACGCCGCGUGAGUGAAGAAGUAAUUCGUUAUGUAAAGCUCUAUCAGCAGGGAAGAAAAUGACGGUACCUGAGUAAGAAGCCCCGGCUAACUACGUGCCAGCAGCCGCGGUAAGACGUAGGGGGCAAGCGUUAUCCGGAUUUACUGGGUGUAAAGGGAGCGUAGACGGCAGUGCAAGUCUGGAGUGAAAGGCGGGGGCUCAACCCCCGGACUGCUCUGGAAACUGUACGGCUGGAGUGCAGGAGAGGUAAGUGGAAUGCCUAGUGUAGCGGUGAAAUGCGUAGAUAUUAGGAGGAACACCAGUGGCGAAGGCAGCUUACUGGACUGUAACUGACGUUGAGGCUCGAAAGCGUGGGGAGCAAACAGGAUUAGAUACCCCUGUAGUC
This 440-nucleotide ribosomal RNA is filed under the name uncultured bacterium. RNAcentral describes it as "partial 16S ribosomal RNA". It matches the Rfam family "Bacterial small subunit ribosomal RNA", at positions 338 to 795 of the family's 1533-position model. The record is from RNAcentral.